CCUACGGGAGGCAGCAGUGAGGAAUAUUGGUCAAUGGGCGCGAGCCUGAACCAGCCAAGUAGCGUGAAGGAUGACUGCCCUACGGGUUGUAAACUUCUUUUCUCAGGGACUAAGACAGUGCCGGUACCUGCUGACUAAGCCACGGCUCACUACGUGCCAGCAGCCGCGGUAAUACGUAGGUGGCAAGCGUUAUCCGGAUUUAUUGGGUGUAAAGGGCGUGUAGGCGGGAGCGCAAGUCAGAUGUGAAAACUCAGGGCUCAACCCUGAGCCUGCAUUUGAGACUGUGUUUCUUGAGUGCUGGAGAGGCAAUCGGAAUUCCUGGUGUAGCGGUGAAAUGCGUAGAUAUAAGGAGGAACACCAGUGGCGAAGGCGGAUUGCUGGACAGUAACUGACGCUGAGGCGCGAAAGCGUGGGUAGCAAACAGGAUUAGAUACCCUUGUAGUC
Molecule: ribosomal RNA, 444 nt
Filed under: uncultured bacterium
Lineage: Bacteria
Description: partial 16S ribosomal RNA
Rfam family: Bacterial small subunit ribosomal RNA
Source: RNAcentral